This is a long non-coding RNA of Cyprinus carpio carpio, 1000 nucleotides long. NCBI's taxonomy places the organism in Eukaryota, Metazoa, Chordata, Actinopteri, Cypriniformes, Cyprinidae. The record is from Ensembl.
GGUGAUCACUGGAGACUCAGAGGUGAGUAUAGGAGAUCACUGGAGACGUGAUGGUCAGUAUAGGAGAUUGCUGGAGACUCAGAGGUGAGUGUAGGAGAUCGCUGGAGACGUGAUGGUCAGUAUAGGAGAUCGCUGGAGACUCAGAGGUGAGGGUAGGAGAUCGCUGGAGACUCAGAGGUGAGUGUAGGACAGGGAUAGGCAACUCCGGUCCUGGAGGGCCACUGUCCUGCAGAGUUUAGCUUCAGCCCUCAUAAAAACUCACCUGCCUGUAUCUAUCUAGUAAUCCCGAAAACACUAAUUGCCUUGUUCAGGUGUGUUUAAUUAGGGUUGGAGCUAAACUCUGCAGGACAGUGGCCCUCCAGGACCGAAGUUGCCUAUCCCUGGUGUAGGAGAUCACUGGAGAUGUGAUGGUCAGUAUAGGAGAUCGCUGGAGACUCAGAGCUGAGUAUAGGGGUUCACUGGAGAUGUGAUGGUCAGUGUAGGAGAUCGCUGGAGACUCAGAGGUGAGGGGAGACUCAGAGGUAAGUAGAUCACUGGAGACAUGAUGGUCAGAAUAGGAGAUCGCUGGAGACUCAGAGGUGAGUAUAGGAGAUCACUGGAGACAUGAUGGUCAGAAUAGGAGAUCGCUGGAGACUCAGAGGUGAGUAUAGCAGUCCCAGACAUAAAAGACAAUUUGAAUAACAAAUUUUUGUAUAGAAAAAUCAAUAAAAUAGUUUAAACAAAAAUAUGCACUAAAUAAAUGGAUGUGAUCAUUCAUUAAAAGCAUGUGGUUGUUUUUCUUAUAAGAAAAGGUAUUAUUUUAUUAGUAAAAAAAAAGCACCGAAGUUGACAUGGACCAAUGAGAAGACUAAAGUUAAACAGUGAACUCCCUUCUUUUAUCCAUUUAUGUCAUUUAUGUUCAUGUAUAUGUAAACACCUACACUGGUGUGUGUAUAAGAUUUUUUUAACACUAAUAACAAAUAAUACAAAAUUUAUCAAAAAUUACAGUAAAGACUUUUAC